UAGGGAAUCUUCCACAAUGGGCGCAAGCCUGAUGGAGCAACACCGCGUGAGUGAAGAAGGGUUUCGGCUCGUAAAGCUCUGUUGUUAAAGAAGAACGUGGGUAAGAGUAACUGUUUACCCAGUGACGGUAUUUAACCAGAAAGCCACGGGUAACUACGUGCAAG
This 164-nucleotide ribosomal RNA is filed under the name uncultured bacterium. RNAcentral's name for it is "partial 16S rRNA". It matches the Rfam family "Bacterial small subunit ribosomal RNA", at positions 355 to 511 of the family's 1533-position model. The record is from RNAcentral.